RNAcentral lists this RNase P RNA (340 nucleotides) under pig gut metagenome. RNAcentral describes it as "Bacterial RNase P class A". It matches the Rfam family "Bacterial RNase P class A". From Rfam's summary of the family: Ribonuclease P (RNase P) is a ubiquitous endoribonuclease, found in archaea, bacteria and eukarya as well as chloroplasts and mitochondria. Its best characterised activity is the generation of mature 5'-ends of tRNAs by cleaving the 5'-leader elements of precursor-tRNAs. The record is from RNAcentral.
AGUCGGUUGGACGGUUGCGGGCAUAAGGAGUGAUCCUGUGCGUGAGGAAAGUCCGAGCUCCGCAGGGCAGAGUGCAAGGUAAUACCUUGUGAAGGCGACUUCCAGGAAAGUGCAACAGAAAUAAACCGCCGCAAAAGCGGUAAGGGUGGAAAGGCGAGGUAAGAGCUCACCCACAGUAUGGCGACUUACUGAUGAUGUAAACCCCACUCGGAGCAACACCUGAUAGAGGAGGCUAAGCCGGCCCGGCGUCUCCCGGGAAGGUGGCUUAAGAUACGCAGUGAUGCGUAUAUUAGAUAGAUGACCGUCUUAAAUGACAGAACUCGGCUUACAGACCGGCUGA